RNAcentral lists this ribosomal RNA (253 nucleotides) under uncultured bacterium. RNAcentral's name for it is "partial 16S ribosomal RNA". It matches the Rfam family "Bacterial small subunit ribosomal RNA", at positions 524 to 776 of the family's 1533-position model. The record is from RNAcentral.
GACAGAGGUGCCGAGCGUUAGGCGGAAUCACUGGGCUUAAAGCGUGUGUAGGCGGGUGCCUAAGUACCUUGUGAAAUCCCACGGCUCAACCGUGGAACUGCUUGGUAUACUGGGUAUCUUGAGCCACUUAGGGGCAACCGGAACAAACGGUGGAGCGGUGAAAUGCGUAGAUAUCAGGAGGAACACCGGUGGCGAAGGCGGGUCUCUGGGCCGUAACUGACGCUGAGGAGCGAAAGCGUGGGGAGCGAACAGG